AACAGGAUUAGAUACCCUGGUAGUCCACGCCGUAAACUAUGGAUGCUAGCUGUAAGAAGUAUCGACCCUUCUUGUAGCGAAGCUAACGCGUUAAGCAUCCCGCCUGUGGAGUACGGUCGCAAGACUAAAACAUAAAGGAAUUGACGGGGACCCGCACAAGCGGUGGAGCGUGUUGUUUAAUUCGAUGGUAAGCGAAGAACCUUACCCAGGCUUGACAUCCUGUGAAGGUCUCCGAAAGGAGACUGUGCCUUCGGGAAUACAGUGACAGGUGAUGCAUGGCCGUCGUCAGCUCGUGUCGUGAGAUGUUUGGUUAAGUCCAUCAACGAGCGCAACCCUUGUAGUUAGUUGUAUUUUUCUAGCUAGACUGCCCUGGUAACAGGGAGGAAGGGGGGGAUGAUGUCAGGUCAGUAUUUCCCUUACGUCUGGGGCUACAGACACGCUACAAUGGCCGGUACAAAGGGCAGCCAAAGCGCAAGCUGGAGCAAAUCCCAUCAAAGCCGGUCCCAGUUCGGAUAGCAGGCUGAAACUCGCCUGCUUGAAGAUGGAAUCGCUAGUAACGGUAGGUCAGCACACUACCGUGAAUACGUUCCCGGGUCUUGUACACACCGCCCGUCAAACCAUGAAAGUCGCCAAUACCUGACGUGUUAGCCUUGCCUAGCCCUAAGGUAGGGGAGAUGAUUGGGGUUAAGUCGUAACAAGGUAACC
This 705-nucleotide ribosomal RNA is filed under the name uncultured bacterium. Its description in RNAcentral is "bacterial SSU rRNA". It matches the Rfam family "Bacterial small subunit ribosomal RNA", at positions 771 to 1501 of the family's 1533-position model. The record is from RNAcentral.